CGGGCUUCGAUUCUAUCUACCUGUAGCAUUUUCUCUCUCUUUCCGGUUGGGCGUUUGCCUCUCUCUUUUUAGUUCUUUUUUUCUUCUCAAGUUCUUGUUUUUUUAGGGAGUUUAAUUUCUGAAGUUCUUGUUUGUUGUUUUGGGGAGAGAGAACAUGCCUGAUCAUCUGACUGUCGUCAGGAAGAAGAGCAAAUUCUAAUCUAACUAGUACGGAGUAAUUAAUAGAUUACACACACAGACACACACUUUUUUUCUUUUGCCUUUUUACAACUCUUUUUCAUCAUAAGCUAGUUACAACACGGUUUAAUCCAACAAAGUUCAAGAAUCACACACCAAGUAACACAGAGAGAACCAUGCAUGCAUAUGUGCUGCUAAAACCUUGGAUGACGUCACUCGGUCGGCUAGCUAUCAAGAUCUUGCAAAGGCACGGUCGGCUACGUAUAUGUUAUCUGAGCACCAGAGUCCGGAGCUAGGCUUCCAUGCGUGCGUGCGAGCACAAGUCUUGCCUUGGUCAGUUGGUCUAGAUUCCACAGAGAGAGGUCAAGAUAAUGUACGGAGUAAUUACUAGCUAGCAAGCAUCAGACCGAGGAUUGAAAGGUCGGAGUGACCGAUUAUCGAGUCAACGUUGGCA
This 631-nucleotide long non-coding RNA is filed under the name Brachypodium distachyon (stiff brome). RNAcentral's name for it is "long non-coding RNA (BDIS_LNC000497)". The record is from RNAcentral. Lineage: Eukaryota; Viridiplantae; Streptophyta; Magnoliopsida; Poales; Poaceae.